This is a non-coding RNA of Corylus avellana, 2351 nucleotides long. Lineage: Eukaryota; Viridiplantae; Streptophyta; Magnoliopsida; Fagales; Betulaceae. The record is from RefSeq and is a predicted model, not a curated record.
CGCAGCUAGUGGCUUCACUGCCAAGGGCUCCUGCUGUACACGAACUGGAGCUAAGACAUUGUAAUGAGGUUCUGUUAAAGGAAUUUCCAACUCAAUUACAAAAGCUCAAUAUUGAAGGAUUUGGCGCACUAGAGUCCCUUCCUCAGGGACUGGUGGACUCCAAUGGCUGUCUUCAAGAGUUAAAAGUCUCAAACUGUAUGAAGUUCGAGCUCCCAACACACCCAAGCUUUUCAUCCCUUGAACAAUUGCGGUUGCAUGGUUGUGCUUCCCUCAAGUCAUUUCCAUUAGAUUUAUUCCCGAAGCUUUAUGAAAUACACAUCUCUUGGUGUAAGAAUCUGGAAUCAUUUACUCUUUUAGAACAACACGGACGUGAUUUAGUAACCUUGCGUAUUAACAUCGCAGGUUGCCCUAGUUUUGUAUCUUUUCCAAAAGGAGGAAUUUGUGCCCCCGACCUUACAUUCUUUUGGGUCUACAACUGUGGAAGUCUGAGGUCACUGCCAGAGAAGAUGCAUAUACUCCUGCCUUCUCUUAAGUUUUUUCAAAUAAUUGAUUGUCCAGAGGUUGAAUUGUUGCCUGAAGGUGGCUUUCCUUCCAAUCUGGAACUUAUUUACAUCAAUAAUUGUGAAAAACUCUUUGCCAGUCGGAUGGGAUGGGGUUUGCAAAAACUCCCUUCUGUUAGACAUUUCUCAAUUUGUGGCAAAUUUGAAGAUUUGGUGUCUUUUCCGGAGCCAGGGUUGCUGCCUUCCUGUCUGACUUAUCUUCAUAUAUCUGGGUUUCCAAAUAUGAAAUCUUUGGACAAGAAAGAGCUUCAACACCUCACUUCUCUUCAAGGAUUGUCGAUCUGGCAUUGCCCUAAGCUCGAGUACCUGCCAAAAGAGGGGUUGCCUAUCUCCCUUUCUUCUAUAGAGAUCGUGAAAUGCCCUUUGUUGAAGAAGCAGUGGCAAAGCAAGAAAGGAAAGGAGCGGCGAAAGAUUCCUGACGUGGAUCACAUAUUGAUUGAUUAUGAAUAUAUUGAAUGAGCUAAAAGCCCCGCAAGAGUCCCAUUUUCUGUACAUCAUGUGGAAGGCGGCAACAACAUAUUUAGCUUCCACAGUUAGUUGGAUGGAAAAGAUUUUAAUUAACAGAAUUAGAAGUUCGAAGAGCUUGGUGGGAUUGCAAGAAACAGAGGCAGGCAAAUAGAAUCCAUGAUUCUGUGAGGCAUGAAUACGAGAAGGAGCCUUUAGAAGAACCUUUUGACAUUAACUCUGUUCCCAAGGAGAUUUAAGUCUCAGCCACUAGCAUAGAAGAAAGUUCCACCAUCUGCUCCGGCAUCAACUGUUGAUGCUUAUGAAAAGUUUAUUUAUGCUAUUCCUGAGUUUGCGGAUUUUGGGAAACUUUUCAAGCAGAAACAGAAUACUGAGUGAAUGUUGUACAAGUCCACCAAUACAACACUAGAGCAAUUACUAGAACAAGUAAUGACUAUCUUAUUGAAAGCAGAACUUCAUGUUACUCAGUUUCAUAUCUUGCAUAUUUGUGAUUCUCCCAGGUUGAUACAACCACUGGUGAGGCAGAGGAGGAUGGUGUUGAAGAUGAAUACCAGUUAGAGCAGAGGGGGUCUCAAAUUUCAGAAAUGCAUGGGAAAAUGUGGGCGCAGAUUAUGAGCUGAUAGAUGAAUAUGGCCUUGGCUCAAGGGAGAGCUGUGUAUCAGAUGGUGACCAUAUCAGUUGAUUAGAGAAUGCAGUUGAAAAUGAGGUUUAGCAUGAAGAAUUGAAGAAAUUAGGAUUUUCAGUCUAGUGUGUCCAGACACCCAGAAGACAGGUCCGGAUAGAAAUUUCAGAGACAUCAACAAUGACUUAUGUGUCCGGACAUGGUGUGAACAUGUCCUGACACAGUUUUCAAAGACUUCAUUUCAGAAGACAUGUCCGGACAGCCAGAAGCCGUGUCGGUUUACACAUAUGUAACACUAGCCAUGUCCGGACACAUACUUAACCCUGUCCGAACACAGCCGCUUUUAUUGUUGUGUGAAUUUCUAUGUAUACUAUCUUUUAUGCACAUUGAAAGGGAUGUAUUCAAAGAGCAAAUACUGUGAGCUUAGAGAGAGAGCAAUAGAGAUCUAGAACUUGAGUGACUUAUCUCUCUUAGAGUAAAGGUGGUGCCUUUAAUCCACGGAUCUGUGAGCAACACAUGAAGCCAAUCAAAGUUCUGGUGAAGGAGAUCACAUAGAAGAAACGGUACAGAGGUUUUGGAAGAACUACUGCAGUAACGGACAAGUGGGUCGUUUGUCUAGUACACGGGAUUGUCAAGUACAAAGGUUUUGUAAGUUUGACAUUGUGUAAAUUCUUGUUUUUUUUAUAAUGAAGUGAAUUCUUAGG